UUUGGGUCAUUUGGUGAUUGUCUUCUUGCAUCUACUCAUUUCUAGGAGCGAGCUCCGGUAGACUCCGAUAUCAGGACGGUACGAUACAAUGGCGGCGUGGGCGGCAGCAGCACGUCAAGCAGCGAACUUAUCUCGAUUCUCCGCUUCCAAAUCAGUUAGUACAACGAAGCAAGGUGCCUUGCUUAUCCAGCGGCGUGGUCUUGCCGGUGGUGGUGAUCAUCAUGGACCUCCAAAGGUGAACUUUUGGCAGGAUCCGAUGAGUCCAUCAAAAUGGAAAGAAGAGCACUUUGUGAUCGUCUCUCUUACUGGUUGGGGAUUGGCCUUCUACGGAGGUUAUAAGCUCUUCACAAAGGGAAACAAAGAGAAGAAGGAAGAGAAAGUUGGUGAAGGAUCGCACUGACAGUGGAAGAAGAAGGAAGAGAAAGUUGGUGAAGGAUCGCACUGACAGUGGAAGAAGAAGGAAGAGAAAGUUGGUGAAGGAUCGCACUGACAGUGGAUGCGUCUCUCUGAUCUCCUUGAAUAAAGCAGCUGUUAGGGCUCUGCGGUUUAAAAUUUUUGCCAUGAGUGUUAAAUGGUUUCCCCCCAUUUCCUCCACCUCUCUUAUUGGACUGAAUUGCGCAUGAAAUGCUGGACAACUAGCUAUGUAUUUUUCCCCCUUGUAGAAUGUCGGCCCAUUUAGAAACUCUCUGCUUACUAAGGCUGUGGUGUUUCUUUCUUUUGAAGCAAAUUUAGUUAUUCAUUUGCAUAAUGACCAUGAGUACGUCGAGGAGACGAGCCACAUUGUUUUUCUCA
This is an RNA transcript of Nicotiana tabacum (common tobacco), 792 nucleotides long. RefSeq lists it as uncharacterized. The record is from RefSeq and is a predicted model, not a curated record. NCBI's taxonomy places the organism in Eukaryota, Viridiplantae, Streptophyta, Magnoliopsida, Solanales, Solanaceae.